UCACUGCUUGCGCAGGCAGUCUGACUAGAGUCCCCGGCUCGACCCGCUGGUAACUAGUCAUAGGGGUUGCGUUCGUUGCGGGACUUAACCCAACAUCUCACGACACGAACUGACGACAGCCAUGCAGCACCUCGCCAGCGGCCCUUUCGGGAGGCCCCCUUUCAGGGGCGGUCCGCUGGCGUUCGAGCCCAGGUAAGGUUCCUCGCGUUGCAUCGAAUUAAGCCACAUGCUCCACCGCUUGUGCGGGCCCCCGUCAAUUCCUUUGAGUUUCACCCUUGCGAGCGUACUCCCCAGGUGGGAUGCUUAUCGCGUUAGCUUAGGCGCCCACCCCGAGGGGCGGACACCGAGCAUCCAUCGUUUAGGGCGUGGACUAC
Molecule: unclassified non-coding RNA, 374 nt
Filed under: uncultured Bacteroidota bacterium
Lineage: Bacteria; Pseudomonadati; Bacteroidota
Description: uncultured Bacteroidetes bacterium contains 16S-23S intergenic spacer region
Source: RNAcentral